GUUGAACGCUGGCGGCAGGCCUAACACAUGCAAGUCGAACGGUAACAGGAAGCAGCUUGCUGCUUCGCUGACGAGUGGCGGACGGGUGAGUAAUGUCUGGGAAACUGCCUGAUGGAGGGGGAUAACUACUGGAAACGGUAGCUAAUACCGCAUAACGUCGCAAGACCAAAGAGGGGGACCUUCGGGCCUCUUGCCAUCGGAUGUGCCCAGAUGGGAUUAGCUAGUAGGUGGGGUAACGGCUCACCUAGGCGACGAUCCCUAGCUGGUCUGAGGGGAUGACCAGCCACACUGGAACUGAGACACGGUCCAGACUCCUACGGGAGGCAGCAGUGGGGAAUAUUGCACAAUGGGCGCAAGCCUGAUGCAGCCAUGCCGCGUGUAUGAAGAAGGCCUUCGGGUUGUAAAGUACUUUCAGCGGGGAGGAAGGCGAUAAGGUUAAUAACCUUGUCGAUUGACGUUACCCGCAGAAGAAGCACCGGCUAACUCCGUGCCAGCCGCCGCAGUAA
RNAcentral lists this ribosomal RNA (506 nucleotides) under uncultured bacterium. Its description in RNAcentral is "partial 16S ribosomal RNA". It matches the Rfam family "Bacterial small subunit ribosomal RNA", at positions 28 to 523 of the family's 1533-position model. The record is from RNAcentral.